UCAUUAUGUACACAGACACCACAUGGCCA
RNAcentral lists this non-coding RNA (29 nucleotides) under Rattus norvegicus (Norway rat). The record is from RNAcentral. Lineage: Eukaryota; Metazoa; Chordata; Mammalia; Rodentia; Muridae.